Molecule: non-coding RNA, 73 nt
Organism: Ornithodoros turicata
Lineage: Eukaryota; Metazoa; Arthropoda; Arachnida; Ixodida; Argasidae
Source: the annotation of a RefSeq genome assembly
GGACCCGAUGGCGUAAUGGUAGCGCGUCUGACUCCAGAUCAGAAGGUUGCGUGUUCAAAUCACGUUCGGGCCA